UAAAGAAAUAAAACAAGGUUUCCCCUAUAACGGCGAGCGAAGCGGGAAGAGCUCAAAUUUGAAAGCUGGCACCUUCGGUGUCCGCGUUGUAAUCUCGAGACGUGUUUUCCGUGUGGCGCUAUGGACAAGUCCCUUGGAACAGGGCAUCGUAGAGGGUGAAAAUCCCGUACUUGCCAUGGCUGUACCAUGCUUUGUGAUACACGCUCUAAGAGUCGAGUUGUUUGGGAUUGCAGCUCAAAAUGGGUGGUAGACUCCAUCUAAAGCUAAAUAUCGGGGAGAGACCGAUAGCGAACAAGUACCGUGAGGGAAAGAUGAAAAGCACUUUGGAAAGAGAGUUAAAAGUACGUGAAAUUGUCGAAAGGGAAGCGCUUGAAGUCAGCCAUGCUGCUUGAGACUCAGCCUUGCUUUUGCUUGGUGUAUUUCUCGGUAGCAAGCCAGCAUUGGUUCGAGUCGUCGGAGAAGGGUAUGAGAAAUGUGGCAUCCUCGGAUGUGUUAUAGACUUGUACUGGAUACGACGAUUGGAUCAAGGAACGCAGUGUGCCUCUGGCGGGUCUUCGGACACCUUCACACUUAGGAUGCUGGCGUAAUGGCUUGAAGCGGCCCCGUCUUGAAACACGGACCCA
This 623-nucleotide ribosomal RNA is filed under the name Malassezia pachydermatis. RNAcentral describes it as "eukaryotic LSU rRNA". It matches the Rfam family "Eukaryotic large subunit ribosomal RNA", at positions 56 to 669 of the family's 3401-position model. The record is from RNAcentral. Lineage: Eukaryota; Fungi; Basidiomycota; Malasseziomycetes; Malasseziales; Malasseziaceae.